RNAcentral lists this ribosomal RNA (1865 nucleotides) under Escherichia coli. RNAcentral's name for it is "partial 23S ribosomal RNA". It matches the Rfam family "Bacterial large subunit ribosomal RNA", at positions 354 to 2207 of the family's 2925-position model. The record is from RNAcentral. Lineage: Bacteria; Pseudomonadati; Pseudomonadota; Gammaproteobacteria; Enterobacterales; Enterobacteriaceae.
GCGAUACAGGGUGACAGCCCCGUACACAAAAAUGCACAUAUUGUGAGCUCGAUGAGUAGGGCGGGACACGUGGUAUCCUGUCUGAAUAUGGGGGGACCAUCCUCCAAGGCUAAAUACUCCUGACUGACCGAUAGUGAACCAGUACCGUGAGGGAAAGGCGAAAAGAACCCCGGCGAGGGGAGUGAAAAAGAACCUGAAACCGUGUACGUACAAGCAGUGGGAGCCUCUUAAUGGGGUGACUGCGUACCUUUUGUAUAAUGGGUCAGCGACUUAUAUUCUGUAGCAAGGUUAACCGAAUAGGGGAGCCGAAGGGAAACCGAGUCUUAACUGGGCGUUAAGUUGCAGGGUAUAGACCCGAAACCCGGUGAUCUAGCCAUGGGCAGGUUGAAGGUUGGGUAACACUAACUGGAGGACCGAACCGACUAAUGUUGAAAAAUUAGCGGAUGACUUGUGGCUGGGGGUGAAAGGCCAAUCAAACCGGGAGAUAGCUGGUUCUCCCCGAAAGCUAUUUAGGUAGCGCCUCGUGAAUUCAUCUCCGGGGGUAGAGCACUGUUUCGGCAAGGGGGUCAUCCCGACUUACCAACCCGAUGCAAACUGCGAAUACCGGAGAAUGUUAUCACGGGAGACACACGGCGGGUGCUAACGUCCGUCGUGAAGAGGGAAACAACCCAGACCGCCAGCUAAGGUCCCAAAGUCAUGGUUAAGUGGGAAACGAUGUGGGAAGGCCCAGACAGCCAGGAUGUUGGCUUAGAAGCAGCCAUCAUUUAAAGAAAGCGUAAUAGCUCACUGGUCGAGUCGGCCUGCGCGGAAGAUGUAACGGGGCUAAACCAUGCACCGAAGCUGCGGCAGCGACACUAUGUGUUGUUGGGUAGGGGAGCGUUCUGUAAGCCUGUGAAGGUGGCCUGUGAGGGUUGCUGGAGGUAUCAGAAGUGCGAAUGCUGACAUAAGUAACGAUAAAGCGGGUGAAAAGCCCGCUCGCCGGAAGACCAAGGGUUCCUGUCCAACGUUAAUCGGGGCAGGGUGAGUCGACCCCUAAGGCGAGGCCGAAAGGCGUAGUCGAUGGGAAACAGGUUAAUAUUCCUGUACUUGGUGUUACUGCGAAGGGGGGACGGAGAAGGCUAUGUUGGCCGGGCGACGGUUGUCCCGGUUUAAGCGUGUAGGCUGGUUUUCCAGGCAAAUCCGGAAAACCAAGGCUGAGGCGUGAUGACGAGGCACUACGGUGCUGAAGCGACAAAUGCCCUGCUUCCAGGAAAAGCCUCUAAGCAUCAGGUAACAUCAAAUCGUACCCCAAACCGACACAGGUGGUCAGGUAGAGAAUACCAAGGCGCUUGAGAGAACUCGGGUGAAGGAACUAGGCAAAAUGGUGCCGUAACUUCGGGAGAAGGCACGCUGAUAUGUAGGUGAAGCGACUUGCUCGUGGAGCUGAAAUCAGUCGAAGAUACCAGCUGGCUGCAACUGUUUAUUAAAAACACAGCACUGUGCAAACACGAAAGUGGACGUAUACGGUGUGACGCCUGCCCGGUGCCGGAAGGUUAAUUGAUGGGGUUAGCGGCAACGCGAAGCUCUUGAUCGAAGCCCCGGUAAACGGCGGCCGUAACUAUAACGGUCCUAAGGUAGCGAAAUUCCUUGUCGGGUAAGUUCCGACCUGCACGAAUGGCGUAAUGAUGGCCAGGCUGUCUCCACCCGAGACUCAGUGAAAUUGAACUCGCUGUGAAGAUGCAGUGUACCCGCGGCAAGACGGAAAGACCCCGUGAACCUUUACUAUAGCUUGACACUGAACAUUGAGCCUUGAUGUGUAGGAUAGGUGGGAGGCUUUGAAGUGUGGACGCCAGUCUGCAUGGAGCCGACCUUGAAAUACCACCCUU